GAUGAACGCUGGCGGCGUGCCUAAUACAUGCAAGUCGAGCGAACGGACGAGAAGCUUGCUUCUCUGAUGUUAGCGGCGGACGGGUGAUUAACACGUGGAUAACCUACCUAUAAGACUGGGAUAACUUCGGGAAACCGGAGCUAAUACCGGAUAAUAUUUUGAACCGCAUGGUUCAAAAGUGAAAGACGGUCUUGCUGUCACUUAUAGAUGGAUCCGCGCUGCAUUAGCUAGUUGGUAAGGUAACGGCUUACCAAGGCAACGAUGCAUAGCCGACCUGAGAGGGUGAUCAGCCACACUGGAACUGAGACACGGUCCAGACUCCUACGGGAGGCAGCAGUAGGGAAUCUUCCGCAAUGGGCGAAAGCCUGACGGAGCAACGCCGCGUGAGUGAUGAAGGUCUUCGGAUCGUAAAACUCUGUUAUUAGGGAAGAACAUAUGUGUAAGUAACUGUGCACAUCUUGACGGUACCUAAUCAGAAAGCAACGGCUAACUACGUG
This 497-nucleotide ribosomal RNA is filed under the name uncultured bacterium. Its description in RNAcentral is "partial 16S ribosomal RNA". It matches the Rfam family "Bacterial small subunit ribosomal RNA", at positions 28 to 507 of the family's 1533-position model. The record is from RNAcentral.